CUAGCGAGACUGCCGGUAAUAAACCGGAGGGAAGGUGGGGAUGACGUCAAAUCAUCAUGCCCCUUAUGACCUGGGCUACACACGUGCUACAAUGGUUGGUACAACGAGUUGCGAGUCGGUGACGGCGAGCUAAUCUCUUAAAGCCAAUCUCAGUUCCGGAUUGUAGGCUGCAACUCGCCUACAUGAAGUCGGAAUCGCUAGUAAUCGCGGAUCAGCACGCCGCGGUGAAUACGUUCCCGGGCCUU
This 245-nucleotide ribosomal RNA is filed under the name uncultured Streptococcus sp. RNAcentral's name for it is "partial 16S ribosomal RNA". It matches the Rfam family "Bacterial small subunit ribosomal RNA", at positions 1140 to 1382 of the family's 1533-position model. Lineage: Bacteria; Bacillati; Bacillota; Bacilli; Lactobacillales; Streptococcaceae. The record is from RNAcentral.